RNAcentral lists this long non-coding RNA (747 nucleotides) under Astyanax mexicanus (Mexican tetra). Its description in RNAcentral is "lncRNA (ENSAMXG00005012012.1)". The record is from RNAcentral. Lineage: Eukaryota; Metazoa; Chordata; Actinopteri; Characiformes; Acestrorhamphidae.
AGUGAAGGCGGGAAAACUGCAGCGCGCGCGGCUCCUCGCCGAGCACUACGCAGACUCGUAUGGAGUAGCAUAUGGAGGACUGGCAGGUCUUCAGUGAUGAAAACCUAAAGAACUAAAGAGAGGACGCGGAAUUCUCCCGCUUUUGUUUUGUCGCCAAAAGGUCUAAAUUGCCAUUAUCUGAUAAAGUCCAUCAUCUCAUCAGUGCUCAUCUUUACACGCUCAGCAUCUCCAGAGCAGGCAACUGUCACCAUGGAGACACCGCCAUUCUUUUGCUCAUGUGAGGAGAUUAAAAGUGCUCUGCCCAUUACUGACUGGUACAAGCCCUGAGACUUGAAUGGAUGGACAGCCAUUAUGAGAAGAAGAAGAUACCUUUUUCAUUUAGACCAGCUUUUUCUUCAAGGCUGCUGCAAGAACAGAAGCUCACCUUUCCCACAGAAAAACCCUUGGAUUAUGACCAGGAACAACAGAGAGCAGGCCCAGUCUUCCUGUAUCUACUCUUCAUUACCCAGCCACAACACCAAGGAGUUCAUCUACUGCUUUGAAGCCAUGUGUUCAUGGUGGAAUUUGAGAAAGAAGACAGCAGCAGGACUCACAGACAGCUGUGUCCUUAUUGAUUUGUUCCUGUGAGGCAGUAGCAGUUCAGCACUCACAAGGAAAACAUCUGAACAGUGACUCAAACAGGUCAGUGUGUAGCUGUAAAUCACCUAUAAAAUAUUUGUCUGUAUAAGUGUAGUAUUACUAUUUAAU